Molecule: non-coding RNA, 550 nt
Organism: Xenopus laevis (African clawed frog)
Lineage: Eukaryota; Metazoa; Chordata; Amphibia; Anura; Pipidae
Source: the annotation of a RefSeq genome assembly
GCAGCAGUGUGUAUGGGGCAGGUGGAAGUGGCAGUCAGUGCAGGGCAGAAUGGGAGUGUGUGAGAAUGGGAGGGUCUCUGAGCAGCACUCAACAAAGCUGCACUCCCUCUGCUGUAGAGACCAGAACAUUUUCUCUGUUUCACAUCUAAACAUGACUUGCAGCACUAACGUCAUUCACAUAUCCCUUUGUUCCUUACUCUUGGCUUCAUAUUUUCAAGGUGUACAAUGCAACACUCAAGUCUUCCAGACCCCAGUAAUGUUUGCUGAAGAAGGCCAGGAUAUCACAUUGAGAUGUAACCACUCUAUAAAAAACCAUGACAUUCUGGUCUGGUACAAACAGCUCCCAGGAUCAUCCCUUGAAAUCUGCGCUUCAGGGCUCCUGCAAGGCAGUAACAUUUGCCGUGUUACUAUGAGUAUAGAUAAGGAGAACUUGUCAACACAACUUUCUAUCAGCAGAGUACAGGUGGAAGAGUCAGCCCUGUAUUACUGUGCUGUGAGAGACACAAUGGCAGAAACACACAACACAGCUGUGCCAAAAGUCAUCCCCUAA